AAGUCGUAACAAGGUUUUCGUAGGUGAACCUGCGGAAGGAUCAUUAGAGAAUUUAAUGGGAGUCCCUCCUAACCGGAGAAGGCCCAAUUCUUCUAUUUCAAACCCUAGUGCAUUUGUCCCUUUUUUAAUUACCCUUUUAACCCUUUUGCAUUUGAAAAGGUUGUUUGUGUUUAACACAUUUUGAUAAAUGAAAGAAAAACUUUCAGCAAUGGAUCUCUUGGCUCUC
Molecule: unclassified non-coding RNA, 226 nt
Filed under: Kurtzmanomyces insolitus
Lineage: Eukaryota; Fungi; Basidiomycota; Agaricostilbomycetes; Agaricostilbales; Chionosphaeraceae
Description: partial internal transcribed spacer region
Rfam family: Eukaryotic small subunit ribosomal RNA (bases 1-46)
Source: RNAcentral